Molecule: long non-coding RNA, 604 nt
Organism: Clupea harengus (Atlantic herring)
Lineage: Eukaryota; Metazoa; Chordata; Actinopteri; Clupeiformes; Clupeidae
Exons: 3
Source: RefSeq, a predicted model, not a curated record
CUGACCUGUGGAGAUUCAUACUGCAGAACCUGCAUCAGGCCUCACUACUCUGACCCAGAUCUGGAGAGACACCAGCUACAGGACCUUCAGGAUCAGAGCCUCUGUGAACAGCACCACAAACAGCUGGAGUUCUACUGCAGGACUGACCAAUCAGCAAUCUGCUCACGCUGUUUACUUAAAGAUCACAAGGGACAUGACGUCGUGGAGCAAGUGGGCACAUAUACAGAUCAGAAUGCAGAUGAGACACAAUGCAAAGUUACCGAAACAGGAGGUGUUCCUCCACCUGGGCAGAUCCAGUUCGUCUCAGUGCAGUCAGACUCUGUGACUUUAAGAUGGUCACCACCAGAGGGCGCUCCUGGUCCCCACAGGUACAGGGUGACCUGGAGACGAGGCCACAAGCAGCACAGCACUCCGGUAACAGGUUCUGAGGUGGUGGUGACGGGGCUUCUUCCAGCAUCGAAGUACCACUUUACUGUGGUCACCCUCAGUGAAGAUGGCCGCCAGAGCCUAUGCGUGGAUGGAUCUGUACACACAGGUGAGGAUUAACCCUGAGUAGUUUGCUGACUAUCUUGGACAAUGUCCACCACCCACUACACAGUACUCU